This 306-nucleotide unclassified non-coding RNA is filed under the name plant metagenome. Its description in RNAcentral is "partial contains 5.8S ribosomal RNA, internal transcribed spacer 2, and large subunit ribosomal RNA". The stretch from base 1 to 105 matches the Rfam family "5.8S ribosomal RNA", at positions 50 to 154 of the family's 154-position model. The record is from RNAcentral.
GAAAUGCGAUAAGUAGUGUGAAUUGCAGAAUUCAGUGAAUCAUCGAAUCUUUGAACGCACAUUGCGCCCUUUGGUAUUCCAAAGGGCAUGCCUGUUCGAGCGUCAUUUGUACCCCAAGCUUUGCUUGGUGUUGGGCGUCUUGUCUCUAGCUUUGCUGGAGACUCGCCUUAAAGUAAUUGGCAGCCGGCCUACUGGUUUCGGAGCGCAGCACAAGUCGCACUCUCUAUCAGCAAAGGUCUAGCAUCCAUUAAGCCUUUUUUCAACUUUUGACCUCGGAUCAGGUAGGGAUACCCGCUGAACUUAAGC